This 394-nucleotide ribosomal RNA is filed under the name uncultured bacterium. RNAcentral describes it as "bacterial SSU rRNA". It matches the Rfam family "Bacterial small subunit ribosomal RNA", at positions 358 to 769 of the family's 1533-position model. The record is from RNAcentral.
GGAAUCUUAGACAAUGGGCGCAAGCCUGAUCUAGCCAUGCCGCGUGAGUGACGAAGGCCUUAGGGUCGUAAAGCUCUUUCGCCAGAGAUGAUAAUGACAGUAUCUGGUAAAGAAACCCCGGCUAACUCCGUCCCAGCAGCCGCGGUAAUACGGAGGGGGUUAGCGUUGUUCGGAAUUACUGGGCGUAAAGCGCACGUAGGCGGAUUGGAAAGUAUGGGGUGAAAUCCCAGGACUCAACCCUGGAACGGCCUUGUAAACUCCCAGUCUAGAGUUCGAGAGAGGUGAGUGGAAUUCCGAGUGUAGAGGUGAAAUUCGUAGAUAUUCGGAAGAACACCAGUGGCGAAGGCGGCUCGCUGGCUCGAUACUGACGCUGAGGUGCGAAAGCGUGGGGAGC